This 419-nucleotide ribosomal RNA is filed under the name bacterium. RNAcentral's name for it is "partial 16S ribosomal RNA". It matches the Rfam family "Bacterial small subunit ribosomal RNA", at positions 355 to 776 of the family's 1533-position model. The record is from RNAcentral.
UGGGGGAUAUUGCACAAUGGGCGAAAGCCUGAUGCAGCGACGCCGCGUGGGGGAUGAAGGCCUUCGGGUUGUAAACUUCUUUUGCUCUGAACAAGGCGCACCAUGGGGUGUGUUGAGUGUAGGGGUUGAUUAGCGCCGGCUAACUACGUGCCAGCAGCCGCGGUAAUACGUAGGGCGCGAGCGUUGUCCGGAAUUAUUGGGCGUAAAGGGCUUGUAGGUGGCUGGUUGCGUCUGUCGUGAAAGCUCAUGGCUUAACUGUGGGUUUGCUGUGGGUACGGGCUGGCUUGAGUGCAGUAGGGGAGGCUGGAAUUCCUGGUGUAGCGGUGGAAUGCGCAGAUAUCAGGAGGAAUACCGGUGGCGAAGGCGGGUCUCUGGGCUGUUACUGACACUGAGGAGCGAAAGCAUGGGGAGCGAACAGG